CCUGAAGCGUGGGAGGGAGCAGAGGUAACGCCCUGGAGUUCUUAAUAGGCCUCAUUCAGAGAAGUCAGCCAAAGGUUUCUCACCAGAUCAUGGGAAAAUGACACAUGCAUGGUAGUUGGUCUCUAGUCUUUAGGAAAUGGACAAACCAUAUUGUAUUGAAGAUAUGUUUUGUUUUCACAAUUAAGUACCCUUGUGGAAACAUAUGACAUUGUUAAUCUAAGUAAAGAGCAGUGUCAUCAUUGGGAGUGGGUUGAACGGUCUUCAUAAUUGCAUGACUCAGUCUUGUGGGUUAAAGAGGAUCACAUUGGGAGAGAGUAGGAGAAUGAAGACUGGGUUUUGACUGUAAAUCCCAGUAUGGAGCUGGUUGAUGAGACCACAAUUAGGGCUGUAAUUUCCAUGUGCGUUUGAUGACUGGAGACAGACAGUCACUUAGUUCAUACUACAAACGCACACAGACAGAAGAUAGCGAUGCAGAGUGUCAGGAGCCUGGAUAACAAUAUUAAAGCCUGCAAUCAGUCAGAGAAAGAAACCCUUCUCACUUGAAAACUGUGAUGAGUUUCUGGAUCCGCUACCGGGUCACCAGACACGGGCUGAGCCACAGUGGAGAGAAGCCAUACAUGUUUUGAGUGGGUGAAGGAAAAGUGGCGGCCAUAUCGGAAAAUGACAAACAUGGGUCCUGCUGCACAAGAUUGAACAUGCACAUCUGCUGCCCUUUUAGUGAAGAUGACACACACACGGGCCUCUACGAGGGUAUUUAGGCUCUACCACAUCUGCCUGAGCUCUGACCCUUUCUCAUAGGUGUAACUUUUGGGGCUGUAAGAGAAUUUGAUACUUUUUGUCCCAAGUUAUGUUUGGGGCAAGUACAACAAAUUACAGAGUACCACUCUCCAUAUUUUUAAACAUAGUGGUGGCUGAAUCAUGUUCUGGGUAUGUGUGUAGUGGUUAAGGACUGGAGAGUUUUCAGGAUAAAAUUUUAAAAAAUGGAGCUCAGCACAGGAAAAAUCCUAGAGGAAAACCUGGUUCAGCCUGCUUUCCACCAAACACAGGGAUAUGAAUUCACCUUUCAGCAGGACAAUAACCUAAAAACCCAAAGCUGAAUCUACUGGCGUUCCUUACCCAAGAACACAGUGACUGUUCCUGAGUGGCCAAGUUAAUGUUUACUUGAAGAGUGGCAAGAGUUAGACCUGAAAAUGGUUGUCUAGCAAUGACGGGAGGUCCGUGGGGCGACGCACAAUUGGCCUAGCGUUGUCCGGGUUAGGGAGGGUUUGGCCGGUAGGGAUAUCCUUGUCUCAUUGCGCACCAGCGACUCCUGUGGCGGGCCGGGCGCAGUGCGCGCUAACUAAGGUUGCCAGGUGCACGGUGUUUCCUCUGACACAUUGGUGCGUCUGGGCAUGGGAUCUAUUUAAAUCACUAAAUAUGUGUUCACUUUGUCAUUGUGUGUAGAUGGGCCACUUCCCUUUUGAACGCGGCACUGGUACAACCUUUUUAACUUUUUGCAUGUAAGCAGGAAUCGGGAGGAUAGAAUUAUGGUCCGAUUUUCCAAAUGGAGGGCGGGGGAGAGCUUUGUAUGCAUCUCUGUGUGGAGUCAAGGUGCUCUAGAGUUUUUAUCCAUUUAGUCACACAGCUGAACUGCUGGUAGAAAUGAGGUAAAACAGAUUUGAGUUUCCCUUCAUCAAAAUCACCGGUAACUAGGAGAGCUUCCUAGAUGAGCAUUUUCUUGUUUGCUUGUGGCCCUAUGCAACUCGUUGAGUGCCGUCUUAGUGCCAGUGUUUGGUUUGUGGUGGUAAAUGGACAAUUUGAGGUAUUCUAACUCAAGUGGGCAGAAUCUUGAGACUUCCCUAAUAUUAUUAAUAUUAGCCGUUAAACACACCACCACCCUUGAUCUCACUGGACUCUGCCGUUCUGUCCUGCUGAUGCAUAGAAAAACCCUGCUACAUUUCUAUUAUUCAUGUCCUUGUUCAGCCAUGACUCCGAGAACCAUAGUAUAUUAAUUCUUAAUGUCCCGUUGAUAGGAUAGUCUCAAAUGGAGCUCAUCCAGUUUAUUUUCCAGUGAUUGCACAUUAGGCAAUAGGUAAGAGGGUAGAGGUGAUUUUUUAAAAUGAAUUCGCCGACAUAGUCUUACCAGGGUGCUCUCACACCGGCCUCUAUAGGGCAGUAUUCCCCUUUUAUGAGUGUUGGGGAUUAGGGCCUGGAAUCGAUGCCAAUCGCCGCCUCUAUUUGGACGAGGACUUCUACUUCAAUGAGUCGGUUAGUGAUAGCUGUUCUGAUGUCCAGAAGCUCUUUUCAGUCAUGGGAAAUUAUGGCAGAAACAUUAUGUGUAAAAAAAAAGUUAAGAUCAGAGCAAAUAAAGACACAACAGUCUUAAGUCGUCCCAUCAGACUCAGUUGGAGUCCGGGACUGUGUCCACACGGUCUGAGACCAGCAGACUGGCUGCCCAACUCCGUAACACUAGCUCCUACACCAUGUAACACCCAUGCCCUGAUAUGGACUGCUCCAUCAGAACCACGGGGGUGUUCAGAAACCUGUGGAAGAGGAACCUAUACUUUGCGAUGUGUGAAGUAUUUUUGUUCAAUUUGUUUUCAGAAGUCGACUCUUUCAGUUAUGUAUGAAAUAAAUCCUCAUUACUGCAGGUCUGGAUUUGUGUCUGACGUUCAUGGUUGUGUAAUGCACCAUGCAACAUGUUUAGCAAUAAUAUUCGGUUGAGGGGCAUUUGCUAAGUGCCUCGAAUAAUGGCACUUUCAUAUCGUGUUCUAAAGUCUGUUCCUUUCAUCCAGGGGAGGGGUGAUCUUGUUGAAGAAGAAAUGGCACAUAAAAUAGCCAAGAGGUCUGUGUGCUCCUAAUAUAUCAACUCUCGCAUGCUCUUCUCAGUGCUCACAAGACACCAACAGAACUGACUGAACACACACGGCAGGGAGCCUAGUGGUUAAGAGUGUUGGGCCAGUAACCAAACGGUUGCUGGUUUGAAACCCAGAGCCAACUACUUGAAAAAUCGUUUUGAGCCCCUGAGCAAGGCUCUUAACCCAAAUUGCUCCUGUAAGUUGUGUCUGCUAAAAUAUAAAUGCAUCCAGGUGCUGAACUGACUCCAGUAAACUAGCGUGCC
RNA transcript from Oncorhynchus keta (chum salmon), 3100 nucleotides. RefSeq lists it as uncharacterized. Lineage: Eukaryota; Metazoa; Chordata; Actinopteri; Salmoniformes; Salmonidae. The record is from RefSeq and is a predicted model, not a curated record. The transcript is spliced from 3 exons.